GGAGACGUGGUGGAGUGGUCUAACAUACCUCUUUGCUAAAGAGGCAGGCCUUAACGGGCCUCGAGGGUUCGAAUCCCUCCGUCUCCG
This 87-nucleotide transfer RNA is filed under the name Patescibacteria group bacterium. RNAcentral's name for it is "tRNA-Ser". It matches the Rfam family "tRNA". From Rfam's summary of the family: Transfer RNA (tRNA) molecules are approximately 80 nucleotides in length. The record is from RNAcentral. RNAcentral also lists the same sequence under 1 other name.